UGGGGAAUAUUGCACAAUGGGCGCAAGCCUGAUGCAGCCAUGCCGCGUGUGUGAAGAAGGCCUUCGGGUUGUAAAGCACUUUCAGCGAGGAGGAAGGGUUCAGUGUUAAUAGCACUGUUCAUUGACGUUACUCGCAGAAGAAGCACCGGCUAACUCCGUGCCAGCAGCCGCGGUAAUACGGAGGGUGCAAGCGUUAAUCGGAAUUACUGGGCGUAAAGCGCACGCAGGCGGUUUGUUAAGUCAGAUGUGAAAUCCCCGCGCUUAACGUGGGAACUGCAU
This 279-nucleotide ribosomal RNA is filed under the name uncultured bacterium. RNAcentral describes it as "partial 16S ribosomal RNA". It matches the Rfam family "Bacterial small subunit ribosomal RNA", at positions 355 to 626 of the family's 1533-position model. The record is from RNAcentral.